This 475-nucleotide ribosomal RNA is filed under the name uncultured organism. RNAcentral's name for it is "partial 16S ribosomal RNA". It matches the Rfam family "Bacterial small subunit ribosomal RNA", at positions 329 to 796 of the family's 1533-position model. The record is from RNAcentral.
ACGUACACUCCUGCGGGAGGCAGCAGUGGGGAAUAUUGCACAAUGGGCGCAAGCCUGAUGCAGCCAUGCCGCGUGUAUGAAGAAGGCCUUCGGGUUGUAAAGUACUUUCAGCGGGGAGGAAGGCGAUAAGGUUAAUAACCUUGUCGAUUGACGUUACCCGCAGAAGAGGCACCGGCUAACUCCGUGCCAGCAGCCGCGGUAAUACGGAGGGUGCAAGCGUUAAUCGGAAUUACUGGGCGUAAAGCGCACGCAGGCGGUCUGUCAAGUCGGAUGUGAAAUCCCCGGGCUCAACCUGGGAACUGCAUUCGAAACUGGCAGGCUAGAGUCUUGUAGAGGGGGGUAGAAUUCCAGGUGUAGCGGUGAAAUGCGUAGAGAUCUGGAGGAAUACCGGUGGCGAAGGCGGCCCCCUGGACAAAGACUGACGCUCAGGUGCGAAAGCGUGGGGAGCAAACAGGAUUAGAUACCCCAGUAGUCC